This 1437-nucleotide ribosomal RNA is filed under the name uncultured organism. RNAcentral describes it as "SSU rRNA". It matches the Rfam family "Bacterial small subunit ribosomal RNA". The record is from RNAcentral.
AGCUACAGGCUUAACACAUGCAAGUCGAGGGGCAUCAGGAAGAAAGCUUGCUUUCUUUGCUGGCGACCGGCGCACGGGUGAGUAACACGUAUCCAACCUGCCCUUUACUCGGGGAUAGCCUUUCGAAAGAAAGAUUAAUACCCGAUAGCAUAAUGAUUCCGCAUGGUUUCAUUAUUAAAGGAUUCCGGUAAAGGAUGGGGAUGCGUUCCAUUAGGUUGUUGGUGAGGUAACGGCCCACCAAGCCUUCGAUGGAUAGGGGUUCUGAGAGGAAGGUCCCCCACAUUGGAACUGAGACACGGUCCAAACUCCUACGGGAGGCAGCAGUGAGGAAUAUUGGUCAAUGGGCGCUAGCCUGAACCAGCCAAGUAGCGUGAAGGAUGAAGGCUCUAUGGGUCGUAAACUUCUUUUAUAUAAGAAUAAAGUGCAGUAUGUAUACUGUUUUGUAUGCAUUAUAUGAAUAAGGAUCGGCUAACUCCAUGCCAGCAGCCGCGGUAAUACGGAGGAUCCGAGCGUUAUCCGGAUUUAUUGGGUUUAAAGGGAGCGUAGGUGGACUGGUAAGUCAGUUGUGAAAGUUUGCGGCUCAACCGUAAAAUUGCAGUUGAUACUGUCAGUCUUGAGUACAGUAGAGGUGGGCGGAAUUCGUGGUGUAGCGGUGAAAUGCUUAGAUAUCACGAAGAACUCCGAUUGCGAAGGCAGCUCACUGGACUGCAACUGACACUGAUGCUCGAAAGUGUGGGUAUCAAACAGGAUUAGAUACCCUGGUAGUCCACACAGUAAACGAUGAAUACUCGCUGUUUGCGAUAUACAGUAAGCGGCCAAGCGAAAGCAUUAAGUAUUCCACCUGGGGAGUACGCCGGCAACGGUGAAACUCAAAGGAAUUGACGGGGGCCCGCACAAGCGGAGGAACAUGUGGUUUAAUUCGAUGAUACGCGAGGAACCUUACCCGGGCUUAAAUUGCAGUGGAAUGAUGUGGAAACAUGUCAGUGAGCAAUCACCGCUGUGAAGGUGCUGCAUGGUUGUCGUCAGCUCGUGCCGUGAGGUGUCGGCUUAAGUGCCAUAACGAGCGCAACCCUUAUCUUUAGUUACUAACAGGUUAUGCUGAGGACUCUAGAGAGACUGCCGUCGUAAGAUGUGAGGAAGGUGGGGAUGACGUCAAAUCAGCACGGCCCUUACGUCCGGGGCUACACACGUGUUACAAUGGGGGGUACAGAAGGCAGCUAGCGGGUGACCGUAUGCUAAUCCCAAAAUCCUCUCUCAGUUCGGAUCGAAGUCUGCAACCCGACUUCGUGAAGCUGGAUUCGCUAGUAAUCGCGCAUCAGCCACGGCGCGGUGAAUACGUUCCCGGGCCUUGUACACACCGCCCGUCAAGCCAUGGGAGCCGGGGGUACCUGAAGUACGUAACCGCAAGGAUCGUCCUAGGGUAAAACUGGUGACUGG